CCUUUGCCGGCGACCGGCGCACGGGUGAGUAACACGUAUGCAACCUGCCCUCUUCAGGGGGACAACCUUCCGAAAGGGAGGCUAAUCCCGCGUAUAUCGGUUUCGGGCAUCCGAGAUCGAGGAAAGAUUCAUCGGAAGAGGAUGGGCAUGCGGCGCAUUAGCUAGACGGCGGGGUAACGGCCCACCGUGGCGACGAUGCGUAGGGGUUCUGAGAGGAAGGUCCCCCACACUGGUACUGAGUCACGGACCAGACUCCUACGGGAGGCAGCAG
RNAcentral lists this ribosomal RNA (271 nucleotides) under uncultured bacterium. Its description in RNAcentral is "partial 16S ribosomal RNA". It matches the Rfam family "Bacterial small subunit ribosomal RNA", at positions 82 to 354 of the family's 1533-position model. The record is from RNAcentral.